CCCAGAUGCACCUUUAAAAACCCUGUUUUUCCUUUCUGUAACUCAGUUUGAUACCUGAAAGUCUCCGUGCCACUUCAAAAUCCAAAAUUAAACCCCUAACGUCCUCAGUUGUGGUAGUCCAAGUGGUCUGGGGAGCAACAAGGGCCUUUAAUUACAGUGGUGCAGCAUUAUAAACAUUAUUAUAAUUUAAAUAAUAAUAAUUAUUAGCCUGUUCACAUGGACUGGUCACAUGACUCAAACACAUAACUUCUAAAUUAUGUUUACUUGAAUCUGCAAUUUGAUUAAAAACAUGUUCUGUGGGUGAAGAUCAGGAAUAAAAAGCUUUAUGGCUACAGUAUCAGAAAUAUUAGUGUGUACGCUUAAAUAACGAGUAUGAUAUUGAAAGUAGUUAAAUUGUGUCCUGGUGCAGGUCCGUGGAAGUUAUUUUGCAGUGUCCCUGGCUGCAAAAGGUUUGAGAAGCCCUGCGUAUAGAAAAAGAAAAGCGCUAAGCACACCAUCAGACACCUGGGGGCGCUGAUCACAAAGAUUUUAUGUGCAUUUCCUGUUCAUGUCUCCUCAAAAUAUACAAAAGUAAGGAGCAGGAAUUAAAGGAAAGAAUUCCAAAAGAAACACAACUUUGAGGGAACUUUUAUGAGAGGCUCCUGUGGCUGUGGAUAACCCGAGCUGGACAGAGUGGUGAGAGCUUGGGAUGGACUCUAGAGAUGGUGCUGAAUGCAGUUUAAACUCCACACAUGGUCCUGUGAACUCACUUCCUGUCUGUGUGUGCAUGCGUCCAUUCUUUUCACCACUAGGUGGCGAUACAUAAAAAAAGAACACUCCAACCUCCCCCCCCCCCCCCCGCGCCCCCCCCCCCCCACGCCCCCACCGGGAGAGAAAAGCAACAACAGCAACGAAAUAUCACUCAUCCUAUUUUUUGUGAAUGUUUAAGAUCCUCUGGAACUGUUACCGAAUGAGAUAAAAAUUUUAAAUCUCUUGGCCCUGCUGAAUUUUUUAUUUUGUAAAUGUUUUUUUUUUUUUUUGGCAAACUUCAUAAGAAAGCAGUGCAUAUGAUGAUAUUGAUUAGUACAGAUACAUGAAAACAUCUGUGAGUAUUUUCAGACUUGUUUAUGCAGAAAUUCAGGGGUAAC
Molecule: long non-coding RNA, 1127 nt
Organism: Ictalurus punctatus (channel catfish)
Lineage: Eukaryota; Metazoa; Chordata; Actinopteri; Siluriformes; Ictaluridae
Source: Ensembl